AGUCGAGCGAACAGAUGAGGAGCUUGCUCCUUUGACGUUAGCGGCGGACGGGUGAGUAACACGUGGAUAACCUACCUAUAAGACUGGGAUAACUUCGGGAAACCGGAGCUAAUACCGGAUAAGAUUUUGAACCGCAUGGUUCAAUAGUGAAAGACGGCCUUGCUGUCACUUAUAGAUGGAUCCGCGCCGUAUUAGCUAGUUGGUAAGGUAACGGCUUACCAAGGCAACGAUACGUAGCCGACCUGAGAGGGUGAUCGGCCACACUGGAACUGAGACACGGUCCAGACUCCUACGGGAGGCAGCAGUAGGGAAUCUUCCGCAAUGGGCGAAAGCCUGACGGAGCAACGCCGCGUGAGUGAUGAAGGUCUUCGGAUCGUAAAACUCUGUUAUCAGGGAAGAACAAACGUGUAAGUAACUGUGCACGUCUUGACGGUACCUGAUCAGAAAGCCACGGCUAACUACGUGCCAGCAGCCGCGGUAAUACGUAGGUGGCAAGCGUUAUCCGGAAUUAUUGGGCGUAAAGCGCGCGUAGGCGGUUUUUUAAGUCUGAUGUGAAAGCCCACGGCUCAACCGUGGAGGGUCAUUGGAAACUGGAAAACUUGAGUGCAGAAGAGGAAAGUGGAAUUCCAUGUGUAGCGGUGAAAUGCGCAGAGAUAUGGAGGAACACCAGUGGCGAAGGCGACUUUCUGGUCUGUAACUGACGCUGAUGUGCGAAAGCGUGGGGAUCAAACAGGAUUAGAUACCCUGGUAGUCCACGCCGUAAACGAUGAGUGCUAAGUG
This 780-nucleotide ribosomal RNA is filed under the name Staphylococcus pasteuri. RNAcentral describes it as "bacterial SSU rRNA". It matches the Rfam family "Bacterial small subunit ribosomal RNA", at positions 60 to 822 of the family's 1533-position model. Lineage: Bacteria; Bacillati; Bacillota; Bacilli; Caryophanales; Staphylococcaceae. The record is from RNAcentral.